GCGCUCGGCAGGAGCGGGCGACAAAGGAGCGCCGGGCAGGAGCGCGGGUGUGCACUGGGAGGAGCGGCGCGCGGGCCUGGGAGCCGCGACUCCGCGACGCUCCUCGCUGGGAACGAUCGCGGUUACAUCCUCGAGGGCUGAGAGGGGAGGCUAAGAUCUGGACCUUUCGGAAAACGCUGCUCCAACAGAUUUUCCACAGUUUCGAGUUGGAGGGGGAGGGGAAAGACCUUACAGGAACCUCAGUUCCAGAGUGAGGAAGCAGGGUGAUCGCUCGCAGCUACUCGCUUCCAAUUCGGAUUAGAAGCGGAGGAGACGCUGAAGCGGCGAGGCGAAAACGACACCGAGGCACCCGGCGCGUGAGCGACGGUCUGGAGCAGGAGAGAAGGGAAGGAAGAGACACACAUACAUAGCAUGUGUUACCUGGUUUAUUUCGAGAUUGUUUGGGAUUGCUUUCUCUCUGGGCACCCCUCACUGCGGAAGACCAGCAGAGGCGCCCACCACUGAGCCGCCCCCGCCCGCCGCCGCCGCAGCGCCGGAGCCCCAGGCCCGGCCUCCCCGCGGCGCCGGCGCUCCGAGCUCGCCGCCGCCCGGGCCGCAGGAACCGAGUAAGUAACCCCUCUUUGGCCCCGCGCUCGCCAGCCCACUUCCUCCUCCUCAUCCCUUCCCUUCCAAACCUCUCCCGGACCCUCCUCCCCCAAGGUAGAGGACACCUCCCCCCACCCCACGCCAGGGGUGGGCCUUCCCUCCCCAACCACCCGAAGCCUCGCUGCCGUGUUACCUACACGGGGCACAAUUUUCCUACGGGCUCAGCAAUGCCGGAGCCGGGCCUGCAGGGCCGCCUCGGGAAAGUAGUGCCUCGCCUCCUCCAUUUCCUGCCCUCUCCUCGCAUCCUCUCCCUGCACUCCCACUCUGCUCGACACCGCCGCCGCCCCCGCUGGGAAAAAUAAAAUUGGAUACCAACUUUAAUCAAUAAGGACAAAUAUUGACGCUCAAACGAAAAUGACCCAAUACAGGGAGAAGGAAGCCGGAAAC
This 1032-nucleotide long non-coding RNA is filed under the name Equus asinus (donkey). RNAcentral describes it as "lncRNA (ENSEASG00005032386.1)". Lineage: Eukaryota; Metazoa; Chordata; Mammalia; Perissodactyla; Equidae. The record is from RNAcentral.